AGCUUGAGUAGUUUAAAAAAAACACUGAUCUUGUAAAUCAAAAUUAUUAAUUCUGAAGC
Molecule: transfer RNA, 59 nt
Filed under: Arytainilla spartiophila (broom psyllid)
Lineage: Eukaryota; Metazoa; Arthropoda; Insecta; Hemiptera; Psyllidae
Description: tRNA-Thr
Source: RNAcentral